Molecule: ribosomal RNA, 433 nt
Filed under: uncultured bacterium
Lineage: Bacteria
Description: partial 16S ribosomal RNA
Rfam family: Bacterial small subunit ribosomal RNA
Source: RNAcentral
AACGAACGCUGGCGGCAUGCCUAACACAUGCAAGUCGAACGAGACCUUCGGGCUUAGUGGCGCACGGGUGCGUAACGCGUGGGAACCUGCCCUUAGGUUCGCAAUAACUCCCCGAAAGGGGUGCUAAUACCGGAUAAUGUCUUCGGACCAAAGAUUUAUCGCCUUUGGAUGGGCCUGCGUUGGUUUAGCUGGUUGGUAGGGUAAAAGCCUAUCAGGGCGACGAUACAUAGCUGGUCUGAGAGGAUGAUCAGCCACACUGGGACUGAGACACGGCCCAGACUCCUACGGGAGGCAGCAGUGGGGAAUAUUGGACAAUGGGCGAAAGCCUGAUCCAGCAAUGCCGCGUGAGUGAUGAAGGCCUGAGGGUUGUAAAGCUCUUUUACCCGGGAUGAUAAUGACAGUACCGGGAGAAUAAGCUCCGGCUAACUCCGUG